GUCUCCCUCGUUCUCCUUGAUUCUGAGCCCUGCCUAAUUUGGGGGUGUGUGGUUUAAUUAGCCAAUCAUAAUUAGGCCGUAGUGUAAUAAGGGGUAGGGUGUACUUCGGCUCCCCUCUUGCUUGUGACCCGUAGCCACGCCCCCUCCUGGUUGCCUCACUCCGUGCUCACAUGAGCAGGCAGCGUUGUGUGCCCCCCCCCUUUCUGUGCCGAAUGCCCUGUGUGUCCAGAUGAAAGCAUAAAGCUCUCCUCCGAGCGUCAGACUCACCUAUCGGGCCAUGUCGAGGAGCCCUGCUGUUUUGACUCCACUGCUGUGAGGUCCGGUCUAGCCUGUCACCCCGGCGGUGUUGUCUGUGUCAUCCUUUUGGAGUCGGCUUCGACGGCUAAUCGCAUUCAGGCUGCACGCUUGGUCCUGAACGCCAUGGUCUACUGGCCAGUGGUGUGGAUUAGGGUGGUGUCGUGAUUAACCGGCAUUAAACACUAUAUUAAUAUGGUCUCCCUCUAAUGGUUUAUUUAUUAUUCUGACCCAGGUUUGGACGGACUGCGGGUUGAAUCUCAGCUGUUUGUUCUUUUCUUGUUAUACAGUGAUUUCUGUUACUCAGUCAUUAUUUACUGAAUUGAUUUACUGUUUAAUUGGUUUGUUUGUUUGUUUGUUUGUUUGUUUUUGGUUAAGUUUGGUUAGGUUCUUGAUUUAUGUAUUUUUGUUAAUUUUGUUUACCUGCACCAGUAGUAGACCCACUGGCAGCUGGUAUUGUUUUCUUUCGUUGCCACUUAAUUGUUGCCAAUUUAUGGUUGAUUGUUUUCUUUUUCUUUUUGUUGAUUUGAAUCCCACUGAGUCUUCAUCUUGUCCUUUCAGGUGCUGAGAGCUGAAGGUGGUGGUCCUGGUGUCCUUGGUGGUGGGUCCCCUUCUGUGUGUGUGUGUGUGCGUGCGUCGGGCACCCCUGGUUUGUUCCUCCUGUUCGUGUGUUUGAGUUACGCAGGUGGUCCGGGUGCUCCUUCCCUGGGAUUCCUCUCACUGUGUUGACCUUCCCCUCAUCCCCACAAGUAGGCCUCAGCCCUGAUAGUGCUUCCCCCUCCUGGUAUGAAUGGUUGAUUUUAAGUAAAUUAGUCUUGUUAAAUAAAAUUGUAUUUUUACCAUCAGAACCACGUCUCCUUGCCACAUUUAUGACUAACCUGGCUGCCUUAUAAUUAACAAGGCAAUCUAUUUCCUCGGGUAUAACUCCCGAGGUGGCGUUGUCGGACAAUAGUAAAUAUUCCCCCCCC
Molecule: long non-coding RNA, 1262 nt
Organism: Larimichthys crocea (large yellow croaker)
Lineage: Eukaryota; Metazoa; Chordata; Actinopteri; Sciaenidae
Exons: 3
Source: RefSeq, a predicted model, not a curated record